UGUUAAGAAUUCAGAAUGUGCUUUCUCAUAUAUUAAAAAAGACUCUUUGAAUAUCAUCAAAGAGAUUGAGCAAUUUUUAUUCCUUUUAAAAGUACUGAUUGGGGAUCUCUGGUCUCUGGCUGGUGUAUGUGUGUGUGUGUGUGUGUGUCGGGGGGCCGUACCACAAGGGCCUCUCUCCCUACACUUGGUUGGUGCCAGGUCCACUUUCUGAAACCCUGGCACGCAGGGCGAGCCUUGCUUGUGUGGGCAGCUUUGGCACAGAGUCCUGGCACAGUGGAUGAAGAGAAGCGUCAGCACUUUUCAAACAACUAACUAGCAGCAGAAGGCGGGCGCCAACCUCCAAAGUGGUCUUUGUGGGAGAGAGGUCUGUGUCUGGGCAAACAACCUGCUUGUAGAGGCUGGAAGAGAAAAAGGCCAAAGACACUUGAAAAGAAUGGGGCUUGGCCCCCAGCUAGAGGGGAGACGGCUAGUUUUCAGAGAACAAAGGGGAGGGAAGAAGAGAGAUGUUCCUUGAACAUCUACUAUGUGAGAGCCACCACCCAGGGCACGGCACCUGCCCGUGUUGGAAAGAGGAUGCAACCAUCCCCAACAGGGAAGGGUGGAAAAUGCUGCACUGUGCAUGGACUCACAAGGAAGAUACAUAAUGUACAGCCGAAUCUACAGUCUCCUAUUUUGUCAGCUGCUUGUGUUGAUUAAAACUUCAAUAAAGAUCCUGUGAUAAA
RNA transcript from Chlorocebus sabaeus (green monkey), 722 nucleotides. RefSeq lists it as uncharacterized. Lineage: Eukaryota; Metazoa; Chordata; Mammalia; Primates; Cercopithecidae. The record is from RefSeq and is a predicted model, not a curated record.